CCAUCUCCAAGCUCAGGUGCAGUCCA
RNAcentral lists this non-coding RNA (26 nucleotides) under Homo sapiens (human). The record is from RNAcentral. Lineage: Eukaryota; Metazoa; Chordata; Mammalia; Primates; Hominidae.